This 67-nucleotide microRNA precursor is filed under the name Bombyx mori (domestic silkworm). Its description in RNAcentral is "mir-2774 microRNA precursor family". It matches the Rfam family "mir-2774 microRNA precursor family". The record is from Rfam by way of RNAcentral. Lineage: Eukaryota; Metazoa; Arthropoda; Insecta; Lepidoptera; Bombycidae.
ACAAGUUCCGGGCCGUCGGUCUACCGAGCAAUUGCACUUGCUCGGUAGAAUAUCUUCUCUACGUCGU